Molecule: ribosomal RNA, 393 nt
Filed under: uncultured bacterium
Lineage: Bacteria
Description: partial 16S ribosomal RNA
Rfam family: Bacterial small subunit ribosomal RNA
Source: RNAcentral
AUACGGAGGAUGCAAGCGUUAUCCGGAUUUAUUGGGUUUAAAGGGUGCGUAGGCGGUUUGCUAAGCGGGAGGUGAAAUGCCGGCGCUCAACGUCGGAAGUGCCUCCCGAACUGGUGGACUGGAAUGACUCUGCCGUGGGAGGAAUGUGUAGUGUAGCGGUGAAAUGCUUAGAGAUUACACAGAACACCGAUUGCGAAGGCAUCUCACGAAGGGUUGAUUGACGCUGAGGCACGAAAGCGUGGGGAUCAAACAGGAUUAGAUACCCUGGUAGUCCACGCAGAAAACGAUGAUGGCUAACCGCUGGUUUAUUCGGAUCAGUGGCCAAGCGAAAGCGAUAAGCCAUCCACCUGGGGAGUACGACCGCAAGGUUGAAACUCAAAUGAAUUGACGGGG